UUGGCCUCAGGAGGUGACCUUGAC
RNAcentral lists this non-coding RNA (24 nucleotides) under Mus musculus (house mouse). Lineage: Eukaryota; Metazoa; Chordata; Mammalia; Rodentia; Muridae. The record is from RNAcentral.